AGUGUAGGCGGGAUCGUAAGUUAGGAGUUUAAUACAUGGGCUUAACCCAUGAGCUGCUUUUAAUACUGCGGUUCUUGAGUAUGGGAGAGGGCGAUGGAAUUCCAGGUGUAGCGGUGGAAUGCGUAGAUAUCUGGAAGAACACCAGCAGCGAAGGCGGUCGCCUGGCCCAAUACUGACGCUGAUGCUCGAAAGCUAGGGGAGCAAACAGGAUUAGAUACCCUGGUAGUCCUAGCCGUAAACGAUGGACACUAGUUGCUGGAGGAGUCAAUCCUUUCGGUGACGAAGCUAACGCAUUAAGUGUCCCGCCUGGGGAGUACGUUCGCAAGGAUGAA
RNAcentral lists this ribosomal RNA (332 nucleotides) under uncultured bacterium. RNAcentral describes it as "bacterial SSU rRNA". It matches the Rfam family "Bacterial small subunit ribosomal RNA", at positions 568 to 898 of the family's 1533-position model. The record is from RNAcentral.